This 5754-nucleotide long non-coding RNA is filed under the name Capsicum annuum. Its description in RNAcentral is "long non-coding RNA (CANN_LNC016473)". The record is from RNAcentral. Lineage: Eukaryota; Viridiplantae; Streptophyta; Magnoliopsida; Solanales; Solanaceae.
UCAGUGUAUAAGCAUCCGUGUAUUCGCUCCCAGAUCCAUUGUGCAUCAUCUAUUGCCGCCUUUGACCUGAAAAAUCUGUAUAUAUACUGUAUACAGAUGUAUACCAGCCUUUUUCCUUGUAUAUCAGUCCAUUUUCAGAUUUUGAUGAGGCUUGACUCGAUGGAGGUUGGAUUUAACCCAACAACAUACAAGAGGUGGAGUCCAAUGGACUUUUUUAGUGCAGGAUCCAGGAAGACAAGAUGAUCAAGAUGACUUAGGAAUUGAAAUUUAACUCAAGUUUUGCCGAAGUUUAAAACGACUUCAACGAAUCUUCGGUUACAUGGGAUUAAAGGAACGCUCCUUCAAAAUUUGCAAAUUUUCCCCCGAAAAUCCUCAAAUCAUCCCCCUUCAAUGGAACCAUGGGUUUCUACUUAUAGUGGGAAACAUUUGAUUUAAAAUUCAAAAGAGAGUUUGUUUUUUGUGACAGAGAGUGGUUAGGAAUUUGACAAAAAUUAUAAAAAAAACGAUGAAAAUAUAUCCCAAAAUUCGAAUUUGAUUGUGAUGCUUCUGAUUUGGAUAAGAUUUUGGACCAAGGAGCACACGCUAUAUCAAGGCUCGAGAUUUGCAAAAUUCAGACGUGGGACAGAGAAAGGUGGGUGUUUAUUGUUGGGCCAGUUCGGAUCAAUUAGGGUCGGAGUUUGCGGGUUGCUGUUGUUGUGCGUUGAUUGUUGCUGAUUGUUGUUGCUGGUUCGGGUCAAAACUGGGUUGCGACUGUUGUUCGUUUGGAAUUGAUUGGUUUACCAAUUUUUGAUGGGUUGCAGCUGUUGCUGCGUCGGGUUAAGGUCGGGUCAGCGCCAUUGUUGGUCGCUGAUAUUGCACUUUUUUUUUCUUUGGUUGAAGCUGUUGUAAUUUAUAUUUAAAAUCGAAGAAACUCCGGAUUAAAUUUAGUCGUGAAGGAUAAAUAUUAGGUUUCAACAACUGCCCCCUCCUUUUGGGUAGGGUGGAUGCAAGUAACCCUGGGCAAAGGGAGUUUGACGUUCCUAAUUUUAUGCCCGACCACAAAUUCAUUUCUGAAAGAGGUUGAUUUUCGCACGAGUUUCAUGGAGUUAUGGCCGGACCCCUGCAUCGGGUUUCCUACAUAUCUUAGCUACAUGAGAAUUCAGGUCAUUUGUAGUUCAUAAAGCUUGAUUUUUAAGUGUGAUUUUCAAUAGAUUCACGAGCUAUCCUGAUUUUGAAUUUUAGUGAAAUCGGAAAGCUGGAGAGUAAGCGGAUUUGGGGAUGUUGGAAUGCAAUCGAGUUUUCUAUAUAGAGCUCAGCCUACAUAUCCCUGAGACUCUGGAAAUCAAACUGCUCUUAGUUCGAGUCGAUCGAUAGAAAAUAUAGUCUUUUUAUGUUAAGACGACCUUUGGUGUAAGACCCCAUAAAAGUCCUAGCCUAAUUCAUUCCUAUAUAGCAUGAAAAGAGGUCCCAGACUUAGAAAAUUUCGGCUAAGUAUUGACACUCAAUAAUCCAAUGGUUUUAUUUUCAAUUCUUACGACCUUAAAAUGUCGACCCUUAGAAUGAUUCUUGAUCAGGGAUGUCAAUAGGUCUUCUUGGGUGAGUUUCGAAAUUUUUGGACAAGCAUAAAGGCAUGUUUGGAAGUCCAAAAUAGUGGCUGCAUGCAAUUAGCGUGCGACGCACACUCCAUUCCACCCUUAGGGAGCAUGCGAUAGAGCAUGCGACGCACGCUCCUGAAUUUUUCAGGUCUCGGUUCCACAUCCAUAGGGGUAAAUAGGUCAUUUUCCACCCUAUGUCAUCCCUAAAACACGAGAUUAAGCCUUUCUAAAGGAAAAAUUCACUAAGUAUUCAUAAAUUCUCUCAAGAACAAACCCUAACCCAUCAAAUUCAAGAUUUAGGUCCCAAGAAAUUCACCACAACUUUCAGAGAAUUAACAAUCAAGGUAUGUUAGGUAUUCAUCCUUGAGUUUCCUUUCACCUUUGGAGUUCAAGAACCCCUUUUAAACUACAAGUUCAUUGAAUUCAUGAUUUACAUGUUCGAAUUGGAUUGUGUUCAUGCAUGUGUUGAUGUUGGGUUUUCAAUUUAAGAUUUAAUUGCUAGUUUCAUGAAUAUAAAAUGAUAUGUAUUUGAUUAAUGUAAUUCUCAUGUUAAAACCCCUUGAAUUGUGAAAUGAUUAUUGUAGUCAUGAUGCAUUAAUAUGUUGUUCAUGCCCAAGUGUAAGGUUAUGCCUCCUAAGUAUUUGAUAAAAUGUCUAGGUGAAUAAAGUAUGCAUUGUGAUCCUUUGGUGAUCUUAUAAUGAACUCAUGCUAUCUCUACAUGUUUAAACUACUCUCAUACUAAAGUUAUGCAUUGAAAUUAUUUGAUAGAAUGUCCUUAUGGAUGGAAUAGUGUAUUUAUGACAUGUUGGCAUUUGUCCGUAUUCAUGUACAAGCUCAUGAUUUCCAAGUAUUUAACAAAAAUGUCUAAGUGAUUGCAAUGUGAACAAUUGACUAUUGCCAUGUGUUUCAAGUAUUGUUAUGCUUUAUUAGUAUUGAUGCUAUCGGGUCUUGGGGGUAUUCAAUACCCAAAAAUCUAUCUGUUUAACUAGAACUACAGUAAUUUCGAAGUAGUUUCCAUAAUGUCAUGAACAGCAGUACUCAAUCAGUUACAGAACUCAGUGAACUUAGUGUUGUUCAGUUAGUCAGCACGAUCAGUAAUAGUUCGGUCAAGCUUAGUGCAGUCUACUGGUCAGGUCCGGGUCUAUUCAGUUGGGAGUAGGAAUCAACUCCGAGCGAACCCAGGGAUGGGGGCAUUCUUGCCAGCAGAGGGUUUGACCCUUAGUAGCAAUACAUUACAGAACUACGUAGCCAGUGUAAGGUAAGACGUCCUUCUGCCAGACUAGGGUUGACACAACCACACAUAUAUAAUUUAUGAGUCUUCCUGCCAGCUUAGGGUUAACCCAGCAUUGUUAGUAUCCCUUGGCAAGGUGCUAACACUAUUCCAACUGGGUUACAGGUUGGACCCCAACUCAGUUUAUAAUCGGGGUAUGUCGGUUAGAUGAACACUCCCACAGUUACAGUUUUAGUUUCAGACUCAGUAUAGAACUCAGUUUAGUUCUACAAACUCAGGACUGUCAAAAACAGUCACCCAGUUAUCAGUAAUGCAGUUAUCAGUAAUCUCAAAUAUCAGUCCCUCAGUUAUCAGAACUCAGUAUUCAGUUCCAGUAUAAUUCAUUUUCAGUAUAAUCUCAGUUACAGUAUAUAUAUAUGUAUAUGCACAGUAUUCCCGAAUGGAAGAAAUAUGAACGGAAUGAUAGUUUAUAUAAAUUUUAAACAAAUAAACACGUAAUAAUUAACCACAACAAGUUAGAAAAUUCCUUUUGAUUAGAACAUAGAUAAUUUUCCAGGAGAGUCGUCAUUUCUAUUUUAUCCCUUUUCGGAUUUCGUUUGGGGAGAAAAUGAUUUUGACCUUUUCAAACUAUUUCAUAAAAUUUAAGAAAAUUUCAAAAUAACUUUGAAAAUUUUUACAGAGCCGCCACUUGAUUUUUACAGAAAAUAUCAAGAAAACUUAAAGAUAUUUCAAAGAUUCAAAAUAGAAAUAAAUCUUUGAAAUAAGAGAAAUUGGGUAAGGGUUCAAUUAACGCCCUAAAAGGUUUUUAAGGCACUUAGGAGCGUCCAUUUUAAAACGAUUCACCAAAAGACUUAUUUUUGACUAACUUUAAAAAGGGGUUAAUUUUUGCAAAAGGGUGGUUUUAUAGAAAUAUUACCCAUAGCUCAAGAAAUUAUUUAUUUACUAGUUUAUGAAGACUUAAAUGACAUUUAUUCGAUCAAGCAAAAAAUUGAUCUUGUCUAACUUGAGAAAAUUUUCUGUAAAAAAGGUUGAGCUAAAACUCAUUUCCUUUAUUAUUAUUAUUAUUAUUAUUAUUAUUAUUAUUAUUAUUAUUAUUAUUAUUAAAUAAAAGGGAGAAAGAAAGUGAUUUUUUAACAUCUUUUUAUAACAAAAAAAAAUCAAUUUAAACAAUUAUGAACUUUGACUAGUUAGUGAAAAUAUUUUUUUAACUUUCACGAAGAAAAUUGAUUUUAGGUCGAUGAAAAUUCUUUUAAUUUAAAUGAAUUGCUUUAACAUAAUAAUAAUAAUAAUAAUAAUAAUAAUAAUAAUAAUAAUAAAUAAAUAAAUAAAAAACAUUUAGUUCACUCCAAGGAGGAAGAUACAUUUUUUAUUAAUUUAGAAGAUUACGCUAUGUGAUAAAAUACACAAAAGAAAAAUCCGGAGUCAAACAAAAACGACAAUUCAAAGCGGAUCUAUUAAGGUUAACCAAUUUUAAGAAAUUAAUACAAACACACAAUCAAAUUUACAUGAAACGUAUAAGAAAGGUUAAAAUCUUGGCCCUAUUAGCCCGUUUCAAAGCUGGCCAACCUUUGGGCCUAUUUCCUAUGGACUUUGGGUCCUUUUUCUGCAUUUGUGUACCAGCUGUAUACUGAGCGUAUGUCAGCCACGUUUUCCAGCAUAUUUUGUGUAUAUACACUGUAUAAGCAUCCGUGUAUUCGCUCCCAGCUCCAUUGUGCAUCAUCUAUUGCCGCCUUUGACCUGAAAAAUCUGUAUAUCUACUGUAUACAGAUGUAUACCAGCCUUUUUCCUUGUAUAUCAGUCCAUUUUCAGAUUUUGAUGAGGCUUGACUCAAUGGAGGUUGGAUUUAACCCAACUACAUACAAGAGGUGGGAGUCCGAUGGACAUUUUUAGUGCAGGAUCCAGGACGACAAGAUGAUUAAGAUGACUUUCGAAUUGAAAUUUAACUCAAGUUUUGCCGAAGUUUAAAACGACUUCAACGGAUCUUUGGUUAUGUGGAAUUAAAGGAACGCUCUUUCAAAAUCCUCAAAUUUCCCUCCCGAAAAUCCUCAAAUCCUCUCCCUUCAAUGGAAACAUGGGUUUUUACUUAUAGUAGGAAAAAUUUGAUUUAAAAUUCAAAAGAGAUCUGUCUUUUAUGAUAGAGAGUGGUUGGGGAUUUGACAAAAAUUAAAAAAAAAAAGGAUGAAAAUAUAUCCCAAAAUUCGAAUUUGAUUGUGAUGCUUCUGAUUUGGAUGAGAUUUUGGAUCAAGGAGCACACGCUAUCUUGAACAAAAGUCAAAUAUCAAGGCUGGAGGCCUGCAAAAUUCAGACGUGGGACAGAGAGAGAGGGGUUGGGUGUUCAUCGUUGGGCCGGUUCGGAUCAAUUCGGGUCGGAGUUUGCGGGUUGCUGUUGUUGUGCGUUGAUUGUUGUUGCUGGUUCGGGUCAAAACUGGGUUGCGACCGUUGUUCGUUUGGAAUUGAUUGGUUCGCCUAUUUUUGACGGGUUGCAGCUGUUGCUGCGUCGGGUUAAGGUCGGUCAGCGCCAUUGUUGGUCGCUGAUAUUGCACGUUUUUUUUCUUUUUUUUUCUUUGGUUGAAGUGUUGUGCUGUGUUGUACGUUGUUGUAUGCUUUGCUGUUCUUUUAUGUUGUACGCUGUUAUUUGGAAAGGAUAGGGGAGUAUAGGUUAGUUGGGUCGGGUCACUGGUGUUGGGUUGCUGUUAUUAUUUGUUGGGCUGCCAUUGUGGCCCAAUGGUAAAAAUAAGGAAGAGUUAUUUCAAUUCUUGGGUUAUUCAAAAUAUAGCCAAAUUGGAUGGAGAUUUAGUUAAUUCAUUUAAAUCUUGAUCAUAUUGAUAAUUAAUCGGUCAAUUUGCAUUACAAUUUUGGCCUAUUUAAUUUUAAUUAUGGCCAAUUUCGAUGAAUCGACUAAAUUAAAUCCGAAAUUUGAAAUAAAUUAACAAUUAGUUUAAUUGCGAG